ACAAACUUGGUCAUUUAGAGGAAGUAAAAGUCGUAACAAGGUUUCCGUAGGUGAACCUGCGGAAGGAUCAUUAUUGUAUUCACCUGCGAUGCUGUUGCUGGCUCCUUGUGGGCAUGUGCACGCUUCGUAAGUUAAUUUCAACCACCUGUGAACCUUUUGUAGUCUUGGGUGACGCUAUAAAUCAAAGGAAACUUUGGAUUUGAAUGCUGCUGGCUUGUAAAAAGGUCAACUUCAUUCUACAGCAGAGCCCGGGUACUAUGCUUUACACACCCCAUUGUAUGUCACAGAAUGUAAUUCAAGGGCUUCAAUGCCUUUAAACUUAAUACAACUUUCAGCAACGGAUCUCUUGGCUCUCGCAUCGAUGAAGAACGCAGC
This 375-nucleotide unclassified non-coding RNA is filed under the name uncultured fungus. Its description in RNAcentral is "partial contains small subunit ribosomal RNA, internal transcribed spacer 1, and 5.8S ribosomal RNA". The stretch from base 1 to 73 matches the Rfam family "Eukaryotic small subunit ribosomal RNA", at positions 1759 to 1831 of the family's 1831-position model. The record is from RNAcentral. Lineage: Eukaryota; Fungi.